Molecule: non-coding RNA, 94 nt
Filed under: Aggregatibacter kilianii
Lineage: Bacteria; Pseudomonadati; Pseudomonadota; Gammaproteobacteria; Pasteurellales; Pasteurellaceae
Description: Aggregatibacter sRNA 22
Rfam family: Aggregatibacter sRNA 22
Source: RNAcentral
UGCGGUUGACAAAAACAACAUUUUUUUGAAUGUUGGUUUCGCUAACGGCCCCUGAAGGGGUGAAUAAGCGAACAAGUGAGCUUAUGAAUAAAAA